AUGCUUCCUUCUAUCAAGAGCAUUGUGGCAGUACGAAAUCCUUCCUCAGCCUUGUUUAUAAUUUUCACCGGGCAUAUCCGAUUUUUGGACACUUGCUGCAUCUUAUUGCUGCAUUAGCUUAACCGUUCGCUUCUUUCCAUUGCUUCAACGCUUGUUUCAAGCAAUAGUCAAGAGUUACUAAAGUAG
RNAcentral lists this ribosomal RNA (186 nucleotides) under Triticum aestivum (bread wheat). Its description in RNAcentral is "partial small subunit ribosomal RNA". Lineage: Eukaryota; Viridiplantae; Streptophyta; Magnoliopsida; Poales; Poaceae. The record is from RNAcentral.